CCUACGGGAGGCAGCAGUGAGGAAUAUUGGUCAAUGGGCGGAAGCCUGAACCAGCCAAGUAGCGUGCAGGAUGACGGCCCUACGGGUUGUAAACUGCUUUUAUACGGGAAUAACGCGCCUUACGUGUAGGGCUGUGCAUGUACCGUAUGAAUAAGGACCGGCUAAUUCCGUGACAGCAGCCGCGGUAAGACGGAAGGUCCGGGCGUUAUCCGGAUUUAUUGGGUUUAAAGGGAGCGUAGGCGGCAUGGCAAGCGUGCUGUGAAAUGUCCGGGCUCAACCCCGGCCUUGCAGCGCGAACUGGCGUGCUUGAGUCCGCGGAAAGCAGGCGGAAUUCGUCGUGUAGCGGUGAAAUGCUUAGAUAUGACGAAGAACCCCGAUUGCGAAGGCAGCUUGCUGCAGCGGAACUGACGCUGAUGCUCGAAAGCGCGGGUAUCGAACAGGAUUAGAUACCCUGGUAGUC
This 460-nucleotide ribosomal RNA is filed under the name uncultured bacterium. RNAcentral's name for it is "partial 16S ribosomal RNA". It matches the Rfam family "Bacterial small subunit ribosomal RNA", at positions 338 to 795 of the family's 1533-position model. The record is from RNAcentral.